Molecule: long non-coding RNA, 209 nt
Filed under: Arabidopsis lyrata
Lineage: Eukaryota; Viridiplantae; Streptophyta; Magnoliopsida; Brassicales; Brassicaceae
Description: long non-coding RNA (ALYR_LNC000192)
Source: RNAcentral
UUUGAAUAUGUAAUAAAAUGUUAAUCAGAAUUAAUAAAAUGUUAAUCAGAAUUAAUGAGUAAAUGAUUUUUUUUUAGAGAAGAAAUACUAUAGCAACAUUAUUAUGUUUGUAGAAUAGAAAAUACGAUAUUUAGACAAGACUACUCUUUAUUUUUAAAAAUGGAAAAGAAAAAAAAAUGCCACUUUGUGAAAGUUUCUUCUGGUUCUUC